CUCCCGAAGCUUCCCACAUCUGGAGGCUGACGACCCUCCCCUGCCCACAUCUGGAGAGCAUCCAGCUACAAACCAGCGGGGGCACGUCUCCUCUCUUUUCUUGGCCUGGAUCCCAACCCCCCAAGGAGGACUGAGGUGCUCACUUCUCCGACUCACCUGGCUUUCGGUGCCCUCCGGCGGCGCGGCCCGCCCCCCUGCGGACCCCCCAACCCGGCCGUCGUGCCCUGGAGGAUAUGGGUUACAGACCGUGCGGAGGCACCAGCUCCGCGGGCGGCUGUCCUGGCUCAAGUAGAAGAAAACCACCGGGGCCAGCGCCGGAAUCCCUUUCUCAAGCACAUGCCUGGUACCAGGGGAAGGGAACUGAGGACACACACAGUCAAGCGAAGACUGGCUAGAGAGGUAGGAGACACCAAACGCACCCCCUUUCACAGCUGUGCCUGCACCUCCUGGAGGAAAAGGAAGGCUUGGCGGUUUUUAUUGUACCCUGAAGACCCCAGAAGGAACCAGAUGUGGGACAGGAGGAGGCUGCAGAAAAGUGCCAGCCUUCCAUGCAGCAGAAAGGAAUCAGAUUUGGAGAAUGACUUCCAGCCCAACAGAUGUUCCAAAUGAAAGAGGACUCUCCGUGAACUGGUUGGUGUGAAAGCAGGGGCGUGGACAAUAUGACCUCCUGCAGGAAGGGCCCCAUACUGGUAAGGCUGGGGGGCUGGGUGGACACCCCCAAAAUGAGCAUCCCUGGUCCUAAGAAUGGCAGCUCCCAUGAUGUACCAGAGCAUAUGCAAAUGUUACCAUUCCUUGAAAAAUAA
Suricata suricatta (meerkat) is the source of this 803-nucleotide long non-coding RNA. RefSeq lists it as uncharacterized. The record is from RefSeq and is a predicted model, not a curated record. The transcript has 4 exons. NCBI's taxonomy places the organism in Eukaryota, Metazoa, Chordata, Mammalia, Carnivora, Herpestidae.